GCUGAUCGGGUGCGGGUGCGACUGCCUGUGUGCCUCCAUUGGCAUCUCUGCCUGUGGGCCCCAGGCCAGAAGUAAUGGCCCAUGUAGCCCAGGCCCGGGGGCCAGUCCUCAGCAUUUUGCGGAGGGGCGGCCUGGGAGGGGAGGAGGGGAUCCCUGGAUAGGGGGUCUCCCCUGGUCUGCCCCAGCUGUGCCGACAGCACCUCCACCUUGGGCCUCCAUCCUCUACCAGCAGAGAAGAGAGUGGCCCAUUCGGUGUCCACCCGUCAGGCCACCCAGCAGCCAGGCACGCUCAUAAGCCCGCGUUACGGAUGGUGCGGCCGGGUGCACAGGCCCGAGGGAAGCACAGGCCUCGGCCUCCCAGCUCCCAACCCCUGCACCACCCACAGCCGGGAGUACCCCAUGGACAGCUGUGGCCGAGGAGAAGCCAGGGAUGAGGGGGAUGGGCCUCACCUCCCCACCAGCCUGGGAAGGGGGUAGGCCCCUGGCAAGUAGGUGAGAAGCUUUUUCAUUCACAAGUUGUCCGGGCUCCCCAUUCCUCUUUGUCAGGCCAGCGGGUGUGGGCAGUCGGGGGAGGCUGGGGUCCUGACACAACAGGAGUACAUCUGCUGGCCUAGGGCCUGGAGACCUUCUCCUACAGGUCGGGAGGCAGCCCUGGGCAGCGGGCAUUGCGGGGACUAAAGAGAAACAAGAGCAGGUUGUGUGCAGGGCACCCCAGCCACUCCAGAAACCCAAUGGGAGGGUGGGGGCUAGGACCCCAAGAAGCUGAAUUGGGGUGCAGUGCCGCCAGGCCUCCCCUGUAGGAGUCACUUUGGGCUUCCUGUCCCAACUUGUGGUGGGAGCUGGGGCAAGGUUCCAGGGGUACCCCGAAUGAAUGGGGCUGUUCCCAAGCUGGCCAGGGAGCCUGGAAGCAGAUGAGAUGGGGCCGCAGAGCCUGGUUUGCGGAGGGGAGAGGCAGACGUGUCCUGCAGCCCUCUCUUCUUCAGAGGCCCCCUGCGGGUGCUGAGGGGAGAGUGGCUUAGGCGUUGCACCCCAGGAGACUGAACUGGGUCAGUUCCCCCUUGUUUGCUGCCAGAGAAAUGGGGGUACCAUUGUCAGGGUGAGCUAAGGAGGCCCUGCUGACAUUGGCCCAACCAGGCCCCUCCUUUGCGGCUGCUGUGGGGACUUUCGAGAGCAGAGCACACCCCUAAGUGCGUGGAGAGGAGGGAAGCUGAGGCUCAGAGACAUCAUGAGGAUGCCAGCUCAAGGCCCAGCCAGGCCUUGGUCCUCAGCUGCUGUCAUCCAGUAGGACCACCUAGGAGUAGGGCCCCUUCACCGUUUGAAGCUGACUGUAAAAAACAUCUGACCUGUGUGCAAAGCUCAAGCCCAGAGGCCUCCAGGGUGUCCAGCCUCCAGGGUGCCUCCUACGCAGCCUCCACGUCCCCAUCCACUGCAGCCCCUGACCAUCGGGCACACCGUGGGGCCUUCGCUGGCCGCCGGGCCUCAGGUUCUGCUGCACCAAGUGAUUUUUAAAGCCCCAUCUGCCUUUCUCCACUUAUAAAGAACUUGGGACAUUUCCUCGAGGUUGGGCAUUUUUCCAGAUGUGGUUUCAGUGUCUCGCUUGCUACCUGGUCCCCUGUGCUGGGCGGUCCGCUGUGACGCACCUGGCAGUCCUUGCUCUAGGAUGGAUUCGGGCCGGCCCUUGUUCUGAGAACAGAGAACGGCCCUUGUUCUGAGGAGGCUGGGGUCUGGAAUCUGCUUCCUGGUCCCCUGCUGUGUGCAGACAGCCACCGUCACCCAGGCCCAGGGGUGCCUGCAGGUGCUGGGCAUCUCACCCUGGCCCCCACAGGGGCUCCCCAUGCCCUGCACCCCUCGGUCUGUGCCGGGGACUUCCCUGCUCUGCUGUUGCAGGCCUCGUCCUUUGCCGAGGGGGUCUCUUUCCCACGUGUCCCUGAGACUCCUCAGCCAUCCCAGAGGCUCUCGGCCGUCUGAGCACCCCUGACCAUGAAGCCUUCCUGGCCCACUCUCUGUGUGUGAGGCAGAGCCCAUCCCUACCAUUCCGACCCACACCAGAGGCUCCGGAAGGUUUGCUGACUGACCUGUGACUGCAAGAAGCUGAAGGAAUGUGGGCGCAGACCCGGCAGGGGCUUUUCUUGGUGCAAAGUCAACUGGCUGUCCAUGCAAGCCUGCUGCUGUGGCCAGCCCUCC
Molecule: long non-coding RNA, 2184 nt
Filed under: Homo sapiens (human)
Lineage: Eukaryota; Metazoa; Chordata; Mammalia; Primates; Hominidae
Description: non-protein coding NALT1:25
Source: RNAcentral